UGAUAGAGAAAAGAUUGUCAGAUAUCUGCGGUGCCUUCCGAUUGGUAUUGAAGUAUGCCAAGAAGAGUUAUCUGAGCUGGUCGAACGAAUGGAUACUCUUCGAUUGAAGUCCAAAGUACUAUAUUCGAGCAAUUUUUCUGAGGAUGAUCAGGAAGCUGAUGCAGAGGAGGGCAUCAGAUACCUCCUGAAGAAGUAUGAGAGAUUUAUAGCUCUCAAGGUGGUCGAGCAGAUCGAUGGUGCUGUCGUACGAUUUCACCCAUGGCAUUUUGAACCGAUCUGAAAUCAAUUUAUCGAGAAUUCAUCGAGAGAAGGACGAACGGGAGCUGACAUCGAGCUCACCAGUAGGAUCUCGGUUAUUCACCUAGAGCCGAUUCAAGUGGCGAUCAAAGUCCUUCAGCUUGAGGUCGUAAUCAUCCAACUGCCAUUAAGAUUCAUCAAGAUGUUUGGAAUAUUCGAAGGUAGAACCUUCCCCAGAAGAAGAUCUUGAUGGAGACCGUGACCUCUUCCUCUUGUGUGAAGCUCAUCGAAGGGUCGGAAGGGGACCGGCGAUCACUAGAAGUGGCAUGCAGAGUGCACUGUGAGUCAGGUUGUGGCGAUCGCUGGACGGGCUGAGAAGCCGUCAGAUGGGAGCAGCGAGAUGGAGAAUGGGGCUGGGGAGCCUAGAGGGCAUGUCCCACAAUGUCGAAUCCUUUGUCCGCCAUGGCUACUAUUGCUGC
RNAcentral lists this long non-coding RNA (716 nucleotides) under Elaeis guineensis (African oil palm). RNAcentral's name for it is "long non-coding RNA (EGUI_LNC034060)". Lineage: Eukaryota; Viridiplantae; Streptophyta; Magnoliopsida; Arecales; Arecaceae. The record is from RNAcentral.